Bubalus bubalis (water buffalo) is the source of this 2289-nucleotide long non-coding RNA. RefSeq lists it as uncharacterized. The record is from RefSeq and is a predicted model, not a curated record. Lineage: Eukaryota; Metazoa; Chordata; Mammalia; Artiodactyla; Bovidae. The transcript is spliced from 2 exons.
CGCGGGCCCCACGGCGGCGGGGAGAGGGCCGGGGCGCCGCCGCCGCCCUCAGCGGCCGGGACCGCAGGCCAGGCCCGGGCGCCUCCAGCCGCCGCCCGGCCGCGCGUUCCCGGAAAGGCGGGCGGGGCGCGCCAGGCAUGCUGGAUCAAGGAGACAUGAUCUUAAAAGCUCAGGAGUGUAUGACUACACAGAGAUGGGUAGCAGCUGGUGAUGCACAGGAUGCUCCAGGGACUUCGGGGGGACCCUCAUCAUUGCUUCAUCAGCUCCAAAUGAUGUCACUUAGAGUAAAAAAAGAAUGUAAAAGGCAUUUGUAUUCAAAAUGAGAAUUUCAAAACUUGUGCUGGCCAAAUGAAAUACAUGCUUCCAGCUCCUGGUUUGGAGGGUCCAUAGCAGCAUAAGAGGCAAGAAGGGAUCAUGGGUAAAAUCCUGCAAGCUUUAAUGAAUACACUGUAUGCCUGAUUCUUGGUGACCACGCUUCUUCCAAGAUAAGGUUAUGCUCUAUGCCUUUGGUUAUGUGCUACUUCUUUUGCACCUCUCCGUGGGCAGCCUGAAUCUCUCUUUAAUGGCCCUCCAAGUCUUCCUAAAAUAGACUACUGCUGCCAAUUAAUUUUCUCUGUGUUCUCCUAACACCACAUCAUGAAUAGACUGUACUCUGGAAAGUAGCUUUUUGUGUGUUUUCUUUUAAACCCCAAUGUCUGGUUCAUCCCAAACCUUUUCUCUCCAUGUGUUCCCUGACGUUCAGACCCCUCGUUCUAAUUAGCAGUGACAGAUGACUCACCCAUCUUGCUGGCUCCCUAGAGGAAGAAAAGAAACGCUUGCUUCUUUUAUUGAUCUCAAGCCCUUCAAGAGUCACCUCAUGCUCCUGGAAGCUUCCGUUAGAGAGAGGAAAGUUCAAUCUGAAAACCCCAGUGCAGACAGAAGCUUGGCUUGGGCAGUGGUCCAGCCUCCCUCGCAUCCAACAGCAGGGACAGAUGGGCCUCCCACUGCUCCAUGAUGGUGGGUUUUCAGGAACCCUGGCCAUCAAGAAGAGUGAAAUGUCACAGAUUCAACAAGGGCAGGGACUGGCUGUCCAAAGCUGGCAGGGUCAUCAGCUCAGCAAGGGAUCAGGCAACCUGAACUGAAGGAGGCCCAUCGGGGUCAGAAGUGACCAUGUGGAAAGUGGAAGUCAGUAACGAGGGUUAAGGUGAGGCACCUAAAAGACCAAAGAAGGAGAGUUCUGGAUGGUAGAAUGUUUGAGGGGGUCUGAGGCCUCUCCGUCAAUCUCUCCAAAAUUGCUAACCAGAUAGAACCUUCCAAGCUUUAAAGGUCCCCUGGUCAGUUAAUGGGAUAAAGAAUCAUCUCUGCAUCAUACAAGCAAACUAAGUCAGAAAGAGAACAAAUACCUCAUGAUAUCACUAACUUGCGGAAUCUAAAAUACAGCACAAAUCAACACAUGUGGUGAAACAGAAACAGACUCCCAGACAUAGGGAACAAACUUGUGGUUGCCAAGGGGGAGGAAGGUUGGGGAGGGAUGGAUUGGGAGUCUGGGAUUAGCAGAUGCCAACUAGUAUAUAUUGGAUGGAUAAACAAAGUCCUGCUGUUACAGCACAAGGCACUAUGUCCAACAUCCUGUGAUAAACCAGAAUGGAAAAGAAUAUGAGAAAGAAUGUAUGUGUAUGUAUAACAAUCACUCUGCUGUACAGCAGAAAUUAACACAAUGUUGUAGAUCAACUAUAUUUCAAUAAAAUUGAAAAAACCCACAAAAAAAUGAUCUAUACAGUUCAGAAGCUUUCCAAAUCUGUACCUAAAGGCAGGAGUUCUUUUCCUGGCAUCAACAAAAGAUAGAUUGACGUUACGGAGACUCUUGAUGACGUCGAGACCCUGGCAUUCAGUGAAAUUUAGGCUGUGUGGUUGAAAUCCUAUCCAGAACAUGAAGGUAAUUUUCAGUGAUGUGUAACAUCAUACAGUAUCCUACCAGGUACUUUACAGAGUUGUUUAGUAGCCACAUUUCAUCAAAAAUUGCUUAAUUAGCAGAUGGCAUUGAAAAAUGAAUAUGUUCUGCCAAUGAUGUACUUUUUCUAUUUGGAAGGUUUGUAACGUUUCUUUGUUUCAUUUAUGAAAACCAUAAAAACUAAGUUCUGGGGGGAAAAAAAAAAACACAACAACUAACUAAAGUUAGAACCAGACCUGAAAAAAAUCUCUGUGUAACUAGAGUAUUAAAUCAAGAUUUGCUCACAUAAUGAGGCCUAUCAAAUCUCAUUUUAAAUGGGAACUUUAUUCAAUAAGUAAAAUAAAUAUUUUGAAAUAUUA